UUUGAGAUAGCUUUAGCUAUGUACGGCACUUAGUGUGCGAGAUAUCGAGUGUGGCACUUAGCGUACGAGGCAUUGAGUAUUCAACGGCAUUCCGUGUAUGCAUGAACUUGUUAUGGAUUAUUACAAGUAUGUACAUGUAUAUUAUGAGCUUAAAAUCGAAGAAGUUAUAAAGUUUGUAUAUAAGCUUAUGAAUAAGUAGGUGAAAGGUUUGUUAGUAAUCAUAAAGUACAUGAUAAUAUGUUUAGACUGAUGAAUGUUGUAUUUGUGUUUAGUUAAGUUUAUAUCAUACGAG
This 292-nucleotide long non-coding RNA is filed under the name Gossypium barbadense (sea-island cotton). RNAcentral's name for it is "long non-coding RNA (GBAR_LNC010353)". The record is from RNAcentral. Lineage: Eukaryota; Viridiplantae; Streptophyta; Magnoliopsida; Malvales; Malvaceae.